This is a long non-coding RNA of Glycine soja, 325 nucleotides long. RefSeq lists it as uncharacterized. The transcript is spliced from 2 exons. The record is from RefSeq and is a predicted model, not a curated record. Lineage: Eukaryota; Viridiplantae; Streptophyta; Magnoliopsida; Fabales; Fabaceae.
GCACUUGAUGUCAACUAUAAUUUUAGGAAAUUUCCAGAAUAAUUGGGAAAUGUAUUUCACUGAUCCUAGACCAUUGGAACCAGAAAGAUUGAAGGCGUUUCGCAACCAGUGGGCAAAGUACUAUUUGAAAGUUAAAAAUGAAACUUAGGAUGUUUAGACAAUUUUGUAAUUGUAGUUUAUAUUUACUUACUUAAUUUACAAUUCAUGUCUCAACAUUAAAUAUGCUUUAAAUUCAUAGUAAUUAGUAAAUUUCUCAUUGAAUUUUCUGGUAAAAACUGUUUCAAAACAGAAUGAAAAUUAUAUGUUGUGUGGUCUGAUUUUAAAA